Lynx canadensis (Canada lynx) is the source of this 3486-nucleotide long non-coding RNA. RefSeq lists it as uncharacterized. The transcript has 5 exons. The record is from RefSeq and is a predicted model, not a curated record. NCBI's taxonomy places the organism in Eukaryota, Metazoa, Chordata, Mammalia, Carnivora, Felidae.
CACCCACUCACACUCUGUCUUUCUCUCUCUCAAAAAUAAACAUUAAAAAAGGGGGGAGGGGGCACCUGCUGCCGUGGAGUGCAUCAAACACCCGGAAAAGGAAGAAGCAGCAGAGGGUUGACAGGUAGGAUGGAAAGGAACAUGGUAUAAUGGCUUUGAGCCCUGGCUCGGGAUUCUGGGCCUGGCUUUCCCUCUUAUUAGCUGUGUCACUGGAGAAAGACCCUUAACCUUCCUAAGCUUCAGUUUCCUUAUUUUCAAAAUGCAGAUAUUCAUAGUACCUACUUUACAGGAUUACAUAAGGAUUAAAUGAGAUGAUAUAUGUAAAGCACUUAGGUUAACUGCCUGGACCAUGCCUAUUUUUUGCAGGGCCUGGUACCUAGAAAUUGCUCAGAAUAUUAUAAAAAUUGCUGAGUAGGAUGACCCUACCCACUUGUGAAGGCCAGCUCUACAGUGGCAUUCAAUGCUAUCCAAAGGAUAUUGACAUCUUGGACAUGGUCCAGAUUGAAGGUGGGUAUGUGUGUCCAGUCAAGCAGCAGGAGCAAGUCCAGCUCAUUCAGCUCGCUAGACCCCAGCCAGCACUUGGGCCAGAGAUGAGAAGGAUUGGGGAGUUGGGCUCAGCACAUCAGAGGAAAAAUCGGGUACAGUAGGAUCCAGGCAUGAUGUCAGGACCACAUCCGGACAGGCUUAAACUGGUAAAUCGGAUCAGCACUGACUCAGAAACAAGGGCAGGCCUGGGCCUGCUCUGGCAAAGCAGAAGUGCUGUGCAGGGUAGGAACACGGAGGAAGGGGAAUGAAGAAUUUUCCUCUAUGUUCUCUCUAGUCCUUAACUACAGUGCUGAGAGGCAGACAGCACUAACCUCACAUUCCAGCUGAGAAAGUAAGGCUCAGAAAGGAUGAGCAGCUUGUCCAGAGUCCCCCAGGUGAUAGAGCUGGCAUUCAAAUUCAGAUCCGUCCGGAUGGAGAGCUUCGGGGGUCACCCCCUUAUCAUAGCUGUAGAGGAAUUCUGCCCCAGAACCUUCUCUUUAGUGACAGUGCUCAUGCUGUGAGUGUCCCAUGCUCUCAAACAACUGCUCUCCCACUCAUACAUGACCCGGGGUUCCCCAUGCUUUAUAGAAAAAGGAAAACACACACGGAUGAGGCAAGGAUCAUGGGAACCCUAGGAAUCCACUGGCAUCUCAACAGUGAGGGACAGCUUGAUAGAAAAGCUGAAAGAUCUUGGGCAAGAUUCUUAACCCCUAGGCCUCAGUUCUCCCCAUGGGUCAAUACGAUAAUCCUGCUACCUACCUUUUAGGGUUAGUGGUAAGGAAUCAGAAAACUAUGUGUAAAGUUCCUAGCACAGAACCUGGCAGUAACAGGCACUCCGCAAAUAUUGUUUCUACAGUGUUCUCUUUGGGCCACCUGACCAGAGGGUUAAUUCCUAAGAAAAUUCUGGUUCCUACUAUAAAGCCAGUGUUUUAGGAAAAUGUAAAUGUCUGUGUGUGUGGAUUUCUAUAACCAUAUGUAGCUUGAAAACAAAAAUUUUAAUGGCUCCAAUACUCACCUUCUUGCACCGGGAAAGGAGGCUUUAUUUAAUGCACACAUGUAAAGUAUAAGUACAUUUUGCUUUCAUGAAGAAGAAUUACAGCAUGGCCAGAAUGGUUUGUGGGAUUUUUGUUUUGUUUUGUUGCCUACCGAAACCUUUUCUUUCAAGUUGAAGCCAGCCUUGCUUAACGAAUCAUUUUGCUGAGGAACACAUUAUAGGUUUUUAGUUUUGACCCCAAAUACUUGCCAUAUGUGAAAAACAUAAAUGGGGCUUUCAAAGGAGCCCGAGAGAACAAAAGCAGGGAAAGGGAAGUGGGGAAUAAAAGACAAGAAUGGCAACAUGCAGGGUUGCCAUAACCCUCAGAUGCGACGCCAGUGUUUGCUGGUCCACAUGAGGCAUAUGGGAGGGAUGCCCUCUCUUAGGGAGACCCAGACGGGGCAUUGGCCUUUAUAUUCAGAGCAUAGUUGAUGUGGUUGCCAGUUGCACUGGGAACAAGAGGGAUACAGGGGUAUAAGUUCCAAAGGGAGCAGUAAAAAUAAGAAAGAAAAGAAAAGGAAAGGGAAGGGAAGGGAAGAAGGGAAGGGAAGAAAAAAAAGAAAGAAAGAAAAAGAAAAAAGAAAAGAGAAGAAAAGAAAAGAAAAAAGAAAAUAAAAAGGAAAAGAAAAAAAGGACAUCCUGGAAACUCCCACUGAAUCAUCAGGUGAAGUGGUAAAGUGAGAAGGCCUUGAGCCCUGGAGUCACCGAGUUCUUCUUCAGAUCACUGCUUCACUACUUACUAAUUGACAUGGUCUCACUAGCCAGAUUGUGCAUUGCUGCCAUUAGGGACUGCCAAGACUGGCCUGGAGACCUCAUGAUGCACCGAGACUGGGCCUGCUGCUAUUCCAGUGAAAUCAGGUUCUGUCAUAACAGGUUUUCCUUGGGAGAAAAGAGCCAUGGUCAACUAAGUUUGGGACACAGAUUUUAUUUGAGUCAGAAGCAUAAGUGGCAAUAAGGACUCUGAGAGCAAGAGAAAUGUGAGCUGUAACUUCACUGGGGCAGCAAGAGACCAUAAUUAUCACACGGACAGCAAGAUACUAAGGAGUUGACCCUGCAAACUGCAUCAUCCAGGAUCUUUUUGCCCUCUGGCUUCCAGCGUGGUUCAGUCGACAAGAGGUAACCUCUCCCCACCACCGCAAUGCCAAGAGCCUAAUGGUAGCUCCCUCUAUAACUACAGCUUCUGAUGGGCAGCAGCCUUCCAUAGCACUGGCUCAUGCCAGUCUCCCAAAAUAUUGCUGCCUCCCCUCACCUAAGAGUAGUAACAGCUUCUGGAUGCCUGGCGCCUCUCAUCACUUGUUGGUUUCCUCAACUGCAUCCAUACUUCUAGAAAUAGUCUAUUAAAUUCUCAUCAGAAUCCAAUAGGAGAAUGUACAGUAUUCUGUUUCUGGCCAGGCCCCUGACUGAUUAAAUAAAUAUUUAUAAUAAGGUAGAGAGGGAGGGAAUAGAGUCCCAGUUUUGAGCCCCUACUAUAGGCCAAGCACAGGCACUGUUUAUAAAGAUAUUCAAUAAAUGCUGAUAAAUCUGAACAAAGGGGUAUGAGAGAGGAUUAAAAAAAAAACAGAUGUCACAAGAAUUUGAGACACAGGAAUCAGAUCCUUUCCAUCAGAUGACCCCCUUUCCCUAAUACGGAAUGUGAACAGAAGAAAGAAACUCAGGAUUGAUUUAGUCUGAACAACAACAAAAUGCUAGCAUGUAUUAAGAUGUAAAAUAUCGUUCUCAGUUUUAAUGCAAUUCAAAGAGAAACGAUGUGGCAAGUGCAUGAUUUUUCUCUCUGCCAUUUAAUAUAGUUGGGUAUAUAGUGGACGCGAGUGGGUAUAACAUCAUUAAUGGAAUGACUAGUAUUCUCAAAUGCCUAACCACUUUUUGGAAUGAUUUACAAUUUUCUUUUUUUUAAUGUUUGUUUAUUUUUGAGACAGAGUGUGAACAGG